AGAGUUUGAUCCUGGCUCAGGAUGAACGCUGACAGAAUGCUUAACACAUGCAAGUCAUUGGCGAAGCUGCGCUUGCGCAGUCUAGCCAAGGCGGACGGGUGAGUAACGCGUAAGGAACUUGCCCUGCAGACAGGGAUAACAGACGGAAACGACUGAUAACACCUGGUAUUGUCAGGCUGGCGCAUGCCGGCCUGAUGAAAGGAGACGCUGCAGGAGAGCCUUGCGUCCUAUUAGCUAGUUGGUGGGGUAACGGCCCACCAAGGCGAUGAUAGGUAGCCGGCCUGAGAGGGUGAACGGCCACAAGGGGACUGAGAUACGGCCCUUACUCCUACGGGAGGCAGCAGUGGGGAAUAUUGGACAAUGGGGGCAACCCUGAUCCAGCAAUUCUGUGUGCACGAAGAAGGUUUUCGGAUUGUAAAGUGCUUUCAGCAGGGAAGAAGAAAGUGACGGUACCUGCAGAAGAAGCGACGGCUAAAUACGUGCCAGCAGCCGCGGU
RNAcentral lists this ribosomal RNA (496 nucleotides) under Leptotrichia sp. oral clone BP2-21. RNAcentral describes it as "bacterial SSU rRNA". It matches the Rfam family "Bacterial small subunit ribosomal RNA", at positions 8 to 521 of the family's 1533-position model. The record is from RNAcentral. Lineage: Bacteria; Fusobacteriati; Fusobacteriota; Fusobacteriia; Fusobacteriales; Leptotrichiaceae.